GUAAAUAUAGUUUAAGAAAAACACUAGAUUGUGAUUCUAGUAACAGGGGUUAGAAUCCCCUUAUUCACC
Molecule: transfer RNA, 69 nt
Filed under: Osmerus mordax (rainbow smelt)
Lineage: Eukaryota; Metazoa; Chordata; Actinopteri; Osmeriformes; Osmeridae
Also listed under: 2 other names
Description: tRNA-His
Rfam family: tRNA
About the family: Transfer RNA (tRNA) molecules are approximately 80 nucleotides in length.
Source: RNAcentral